Alexandromys fortis (reed vole) is the source of this 3270-nucleotide long non-coding RNA. RefSeq lists it as uncharacterized. The transcript is spliced from 3 exons. Lineage: Eukaryota; Metazoa; Chordata; Mammalia; Rodentia; Cricetidae. The record is from RefSeq and is a predicted model, not a curated record.
AAAAGCAGGGCGGUGGCUAGCACCUUUCCCCGAACUUGAGGGGCAGAGGCAGGCCGACCUCUGGAAGUUCAGGUCGACCUGGUCUCCACAGAGAAUGUCAGGCCAGCCCGGACUGCACAGUGUUUUGCCACGGCGGAUAGAGGCUGUCAUAACAGGAGCCCAGCUUGUAGGAAGCAGGCCUGAUAGUCUCCUGCCAUCGGACGUAGCUCCUGCCCACCUUGCCUGCCGUCUAGCGUACUCGCGUGCGUGGUCCGUCACACUCUGACAGUUGCUUUCAGGGCGAUAACAUUUCUUUCUUUGUCGUUUGUGUUUUCGGGAUAGAAAUAGCUGGCUUUGUGUUGGCUUCUUUUCUGGGGCUGGGAGUGGGUGUUUCUACGGAGAAAAUUCUUGCGGCACAAGAACAACAGGAGGGUGGCAUUACACUUGGAGCUCCACCACCGCCAUGCUCAUGGGAAAGCACCUCUCGACCUCUCGGGGUCCCCGUGAAGUGGCUCUUCCCUACCCUAAUGUCUAUUAGAAAACCUCUUUGUUUUAAAUUAUCACCACUAUUUUAAAAUUUUGUUUUGAGGCAGGGUUUCACGUAUUCUAAACUGACCUUGACAUCGCUCUAUAGCUGUAGCUGAGGAUAAUUUAACUUCUGGUCCUCCCGCCUCUCCCUUCGGGUGUUGGGAUUAUAGGAGCGGGCUGUCAUAUCCAGUUCUAUGCUGGUACUGGGACCAAACCUAGAGCUUCCCACAGGCCAGGCAAGUACUCUACCAACUGAGUUUCAUGAGGUCCACCUUCCAAGAGGAGCACUGAAGAGUGGGGUGGCGAUGGGGGUGGCACCUGCCUUUGAUUCCAGCAGAGGCAGGCGGAUCACGAGUUCAAGGCCAGCCUGGUCUACAGAGCAAGUUCCAGGACACCAAGAGCUACACAGAGAAACCCUGUCUUGAGAAACAAAACAACAACAAAAACCAGCAAAGCAAAGCAAAGAAAAACAAAACAAAGGAGUGGGGUUGUAUACUUCACAUAGGUUGUUGUUAGACAAUGUCUCAUAUAGCAGAGGCUGGCCUUGAGCUUCUCAUCCUCCUGAGUGCUGGGAUGUCACCUCUAUGCCUAACACAUCAUCUUUAAGUUAAACUAACACUUGACAUCGUCUUUUUUUUUUGUUUUUUUUUUUUAUAAAAAUGUGUAACCCAGGCUGGCCUCGAACUCGUGAUCCUCCUGCCUCUGCCUCCUUCAGCAAAUCCUACUGGCGUGCACCACCACAAAUGGCCACAUCGUCUUUAAGUUAAAAUAAAUGUUUAAUUUAAAGAUUCAUUUAUUACAUAUGUAGUAUUCUGCCUGCAUGUAUCCCUGCAGGCCAGAAGAGAGCGCCAGAUCUCAUUACAGAUGGUUGUGAGCUACCAUGUGGCUGCUGGAACUUGAACUCAAGACUUCAAGAAUAACAGCCAGUCCUCUUAACCUCUGAGCCAACUCUCCAGUCCUUAACCUUUAUUCCUAUUUUUUUCUGUGUAUGGUUAUUCUUACUACAUGUAUGACUGUUUACUACGUACAUGCAUUGCCCUUGAUUGGAUCCCCUAGGUUUGGAGUUACAAAAAAGUCACGAGUCGCCAUAUGGGUACGAAGAACCAGAUUUAAUUUCUCUGGAAUAACAACCAGUACUCUUAACUGCUGAGCCAUCUCUCCAACCCUCCAUUUAAAGCUUAAAAAAAAAAAAAAACUUUAUUUUUAGCAUUUGUUUAUUCAUGAGCUUGUGUUUAUGUAUGUAUAUGUCUGUAGGAAUGUAUGUCACGUGCAUGCGGGCACUCUUGGAGGCCAGAUCCUACAGAGGUGGAAUUACAGACAUUUGUGAACUUCCCUACGUGGGACCUGGGUUCUGAACUCAUGUCCUCUGAAUGACUAAGACCCAAGAGAAAUAUGCAAAUGUUCUUGAGAGGAAAGCCAACCACUCCAUAUUACCACAACCGAGACCGUGUUGAUUGCUCUACGGGAGUUGCUAGGCAACCACUUGGUAAUUCCCCGGGUAAUAGCGUAAUAGAGAUGAGCCUGUCGUCUGCUUUCUUGGCUGGCUGUGACACGGGGAGACAACAGGUAAAGGACAGCUGAGAACACCUGCACCUGGAGGACACCAUCCCCCCUGCUGGGGUGUGAUGACACUGGAGAAAAUCCCCAUGCCCUGUCACAAGUUGCUGCAGGGAGAAUUUCAUCAGACUAUUAGUACACGGCCUUUGAGUUCUCCUGGAUUCACCCUGUGGGCAGAUCCUGUGGGUGAUCCUGUUAUCCCUGACCACAAAGCCCAAGACCAAAAGCACUGCUGCUCUGCAGGUGGAUGGCUGUCACUUCAAUGAGGGCUCAAGAUCCUGUCCCUGGGCUCCAGUGGAUGAGGCUUACACUAGAUAAAAGCAGCUUUUCAAGUCUUAAAAGGGACACGGGUAAACUACAAAGAGACCCAAGUUCUGGGUGAGCAGUUCACACUUUUUACACCAGUAGAAAAGACUUCUUAAUGAUGUCUUUGUUUUUGUAUGGUUUCCAAGGUGCAUGGUGGCCUUGUAAGGAAUCCACUGAGCUGCAGGUCUUGACACCGUCACCAUCUUCAAAACAGGUUGAAAGCAUGAUAAAGCAUGGGGGGGGGGAUGAAUGCUUCAUCUGUCUCAAAUCUUCUUUGACAUUAAGCAAGGAAAAGAGAAUUUGAAUUUAAAUUAAGAGGACUGACUUUUUCAUUCAAAUUUUCAAAAGGUUGUCCCCACCCAAAUUUAAAAAGAAAAAAAAGCCAUCCAGCCUAUGGUAUUUGAGUCUUUGGAAACUGAUUGCUUGCUUUCCAGCCUUUGUUUUGAGAUCUUGGGCUCCAAGAUUAGGCAAUCAGCUCCAGAGAAGCAAGUUCUGGACGGAGAUAAACCCUCCAGGUAGUCCUGAUGAACAACUGGGCAGGACUUCAUCCUAACGUCAGGCAGCUGCUAGUCCAGCCCGUUGUGGUGCUGUCCCAGCUAUGGCAGGAGAGGAGCUGGUCAGAAGGAGACACUUAUGCCCUCCCCUUUGGCUAUCAGGCUAUUGAAACAAUGGACUCCAGAUAAUUAAAAUUUCCCCAGGAAUCCCAUGCUGGGGGAAGGGAAAGACUGAAGUCCUGGCACCAGCUAGCUAGAGGAACUUGUUUCCCAGGAAGACAUUCCACAGGGCUCUGACAACUCCACAUUGCAUAUUUCCUGACUUAUUUAUUUCAUCUUUCCUAUAGAGCUGUAAUGCUGCUGCGGAGGAAGUGGAGAGAAACUAGGAGUCUCUCUUCCUGGUUUG